GGUUGGUGUCCCGGUUGGUGAUGGAUCUUUAGUCCCGGUUAUUUCAAUUGGGACUAAAUAUAGGCAUUUUUAGUCCCGGAUUCAUAGUCCCGGUUGAAAAACCGGGACUAAAAGGGGUUACCAACCGGGAGUAUAAAUGG
RNAcentral lists this unclassified non-coding RNA (140 nucleotides) under Oryza sativa (Asian cultivated rice). Its description in RNAcentral is "partial microRNA MIR462b precursor". Lineage: Eukaryota; Viridiplantae; Streptophyta; Magnoliopsida; Poales; Poaceae. The record is from RNAcentral.